CGGAGGCAGCAGUGGGGAAUAUUGGACAAUGGGCGCAAGCCUGAUCCAGCCAUGCCGCGUGGAUGAUGAAGGCCCUAGGGUUGUAAAGUCCUUUCGGCGGGGAAGAUAAUGACGGUACCCGCAGAAGAAGCCCCGGCUAACUUCGUGCCAGCAGCCGCGGUAAUACGAAGGGGGCUAGCGUUGCUCGGAAUCACUGGGCGUAAAGCGCACGUAGGCGGACUCUUAAGUCGGUGGUGAAAUCCUGGAGCUCAACUCCAGAACUGCCUUCGAUACUGAGAGUCUUGAGUCCGGGAGAGGUGAGUGGAACUGCGAGUGUAGAGGUGAAAUUCGUAGAUAUUCGCAAGAACACCAGUGGCGAAGGCGGCUCACUGGCCCGGUACUGACGCUGAGGUGCGAAAGCGUGGGGAGCAAACAGGAUUAGAUACCCCGGUAGC
This 434-nucleotide ribosomal RNA is filed under the name uncultured bacterium. RNAcentral describes it as "bacterial SSU rRNA". It matches the Rfam family "Bacterial small subunit ribosomal RNA", at positions 343 to 794 of the family's 1533-position model. The record is from RNAcentral.